AGUGAACGCUGGCGGCAGGCCUAAUACAUGCAAGUCGAACGGCAGCACAGCAGAGCUUGCUCUGUGGGUGGCGAGUGGCGGACGGGUGAGGAAUACAUGGGAAUCUGCCCAGUCGUGGGGGAUAACGUAGGGAAACUUACGCUAAUACCGCAUGCGCCCUUCGGGGGAAAGCCGGGGACCUUCGGGCCUGGCGCGAUUGGAUGAGCCCAUGUCGGAUUAGCUAGUUGGCGGGGUAAUGGCCCACCAAGGCGACGAUCCGUAGCUGGUCUGAGAGGAUGAUCAGCCACACUGGAACUGAGACACGGUCCAGACUCCUACGGGAGGCAGCAGUAGGGAAUAUUGGACAAUGGGCGCAAGCCUGAUCCAGCCAUGCCGCGUGAGUGAAGAAGGCCCUCGGGUUGUAAAGCUCUUUUGUCCGGAAAGAAAAGCGCCGGGUUAAUACCCUGGUGUCCUGACGGUACCGGAAGAAUAAGCACCGGCUAACUUCGUGCCAGC
RNAcentral lists this ribosomal RNA (495 nucleotides) under uncultured bacterium. RNAcentral describes it as "bacterial SSU rRNA". It matches the Rfam family "Bacterial small subunit ribosomal RNA", at positions 29 to 512 of the family's 1533-position model. The record is from RNAcentral.